Molecule: ribosomal RNA, 309 nt
Filed under: Spirochaetaceae bacterium
Lineage: Bacteria; Pseudomonadati; Spirochaetota; Spirochaetia; Spirochaetales; Spirochaetaceae
Description: bacterial SSU rRNA
Rfam family: Bacterial small subunit ribosomal RNA
Source: RNAcentral
AUCAUGGAGAGUUUGAUCCUGGCUCAGAACGAACGCUGGCGGCGCGUCUUAAGCAUGCAAGUCGAGCGGCAACCGGGGUUUACUCCGGCUAGAGCGGCGGACUGGUGAGUAACGCGUGGGUGAUCUACCCGUAGGUUGGGGAUAGCCUGUAGAAAUACAGGGUAAUACCGAAUAUCCCUGCCGGACCUUAGUCUGGCAAGGAAAGGCGCUUCGGCGUCGCCUGUGGAUGAGCCCGCGUACUAUUAGCUUGUUGGUGAGGUAAUGGCCCACCAAGGCUAUGAUAGUUAGCCGGCCUGAGAGGGUGAUCGG